This 254-nucleotide ribosomal RNA is filed under the name uncultured bacterium. RNAcentral describes it as "partial 16S ribosomal RNA". It matches the Rfam family "Bacterial small subunit ribosomal RNA", at positions 524 to 776 of the family's 1533-position model. The record is from RNAcentral.
UACGUAGGGGGCUAGCGUUGUCCGGAUUUAUUGGGCGUAAAGAGCUCGUAGGCGGUUUGGUAAGUCGGGUGUGAAAUCUCCAGGCUCAACCUGGAGGGGUCAUUCGAUACUGCCAUGACUAGAGUUCGGUAGGGGUGUGUGGAAUUCCUGGUGGAGCGGUGAAAUGCGCAGAGAUCAGGAGGAACACCCGUAGCGAAGGCGGCACACUGGGCCGAUACUGACGCUGAGGAGCGAAAGCGUGGGGAGCGAACAGG